Dreissena polymorpha is the source of this 4491-nucleotide long non-coding RNA. RefSeq lists it as uncharacterized. The record is from RefSeq and is a predicted model, not a curated record. Lineage: Eukaryota; Metazoa; Mollusca; Bivalvia; Myida; Dreissenidae. The transcript is spliced from 3 exons.
UUGUUUUUGUGAGCUCUGAAAAAAAUUUGACUUUGAAAUAUUUUUACGAUUAAAAAGUUUCAGUUUACUUUUGAACGUUAACGAAGACGGACGUACUUUCGUGAGCUCUGACUAUUGAUGAAAAGUUUUGAGUUUUACUGACUUGUACUUUGAGAGUAAAAUUGACUUCGCGUUAUAGAAUAGCGACUUGGUACUCAGGUUGUUGAAUGACUGGAUGACUGUAGUGUUAGGUUAUUGUUAUGAGAUAACAACUUGACUUUGACUUGAGUUGUGAAAUAAAAUCAUACUCUUGAACGUUUAGUAUGGACUGACAACGAACUUUUGUGAGCGUUAUAUAUGAAAUGUUUGACUUACAUUAAUUUUUUUGAACGACUUGACUUCACUUUAAGUUUUGACAUCGGACUGAUCGGACGUGUUUUUUUAAGCCCUGACUGUUGUGAAUAAUUAAAUUUAUGUUGUGGUGUCAAGCGAUUGACUGUCAGUUGAGGUUCAGAUGUCGAGCUGUGCGGACGUGUUCAUCGAGCUGCUGUCUACAAAAAACGUGAGUACAAAUUUUUUUCGUUUUACUGUUUACAAGUUGCGUGAUGAUGUAUGAUGGUUGUAAUGUGUUGGGUAGAAAUUACUCAGUGCUGAUACAGUGUCGAUAUGUUGUGAUGAGCGAUAAUAGUGGAUGAUGGUGGAACAGAAUAUUCAUUGAGCUAUUUUGAGGAAGCGAACAUAUGAUGGAAAAAUGUUGCAAAAAUAUUAAAUGACAAUGUAUUGAAUCGCUUUUGUUGAUAUGUAUGAUAUUGAUUAAAUUGUAUUUGCAUGCUGUAACAUUUCUAUUCCAUUUCAGGGGGCUGUGGUGAGUAUUGUAGUAUAAAUUUGUUUCAAUAAAUCAUGAUGAAUGAAAACUGAUUUUGAUUCGUUUUGUACAGGUUUACUUGUAUAGAAGUGUAAUGCGUUGGGUAGAAAUUAGAAUCUACUCAGUACUGAUAUAGUGUCGAUAUGUUGUGAUUAGCGAUGAUGGUGUAUGAUGGUGGAACAGAACAUGAGCUACUUUGGGGAAACGAACAUAUGAUUGAACAAUGAUUGCAAACAUAUUAGAUGAAUGAUAUGAUAUUGCUUAAAUUGUAUUUGCAUGCUGUAACAUUUCUAUUUCAUUUCAGGGUGCUGUGGUGAGUACUGUAGAUUGUAGUGCAUAUGUAUAGAAUUCAAUAAAAGAUUAUGACUGAAAACUGCUUUUGAUUCUUAUUGUACAGUUUUAGGGAUUAUAAGUCUAUAGCAACUCUGUCGGUUGGUGUUCAUGAGUGUGAGCUUAAUACAGCAAUGUUUGAGUAGUACAAAAAUGUUUUCGCUUUUGUGGUCGCCAGCUGUCCGUGAUCUGUAAAGUGAAAAUACACAGAGCUAUGAAGCAUACAGAUGUUUCGAAAUUUUAUCAAUGAUUGUAUACUAUGCAUGUUUUGAUUUAGUUCGUUUCAGAUUUGACAUGAGAUGAAAACCUGACAUGAUUUGAACAGAGCUGGGAAAUGAAAAGAUUUUCAGAUGUGUGCUGGCAGUUCAAGUCUGGCAGCUGGAGUGAACAGUCGUGUUUUCUGGAGCUCCAACAAUAUGCUAGAAGGUAAGUAACUAUGUUUGUUUUGCAUUGCAUGUUUUUAUAUGUUUCAGACUUUCAAGCAGAGAUGUCAUGCUGACUGGAGUUGAGCACAGGGCAGUGACAAAGUGAAAGGUAAGUACUUUUGACUGAAUGUUUGUUCUAUGCAUGUUUUGUUUUAAUACAUUUCAGGAGUGCUUAUCCAGUGAUGAUAUGACAGUUGGAGUGAACAGUGGAGCCAAGCAGUCUUGUUUUUGGAGCUACUCAACAAGCCUUGAAGGUAAGUUUAGAAUUUCUCAAUGUUAGUGAAUUGAAGUACUGUCACUUGCUUUUGGACAGUCGAACAGAACAGACGUGGUUGCGAGAGCUCUCAUAUCUGUUGUGUUAAACUGUUUUUAUGAUAUGUUAUGUUUGUUUGUUUGUUUGUGAUGUACUAUUUUUCAGAUGCUGAUGGCAGUGAUGGGUUUUCAAGCUGACCUGAACAGAAAAGCAGUCAUAUGGUAAGUACAAAAUAGUUGUUAUAUGGGAUGUUUUGUGCAUGCUUUUAUGUUUCAGGUGUACUUGCUGACAGCGACGAAGACGAAUCAAGAAGAGGAACAUUGUUGAGACAGUGAUUGGGACUUGCAAACAGGGUAAGUGUAACACUUGUGUUUGUUUAAUUUGUAACAUGCGUGCUUUGCUCUGUUUCAGAUUUCACAUGCAGAAAUUAAACAGGAUCUCAACUGCUGAAACACAAUUCAUCAAAAGUAAGGUAAGUUUUAAUUCAUUGAUUUGAAUUGUACAAUGUGUUCUUUACUUUAUUUCAGAUUCGAGUCACUGGUUUACACAUGGAAGAAGAUUUCCACGUCUGUUACUCAACUCUACAGAAGCAAGGUAAGUCGAUCAAUUUUUUGUUUUAAUUUGUACUGCUGUAAUGUGAUGGUAAACUUAUGCUAUUUUUUAUGUGUGUCAUGUACAGAUGGAUAAUUCAAGUUUGAUCUGUGUUGGUUUAUGUUCAAAAACGUUUUACAUGUAUGUGUGUUUCCAGAUGUUUUGUUUCAGUUGAUGUCCAGAUGGCAAGCAGAACAGACGUGUUUCUUGGAUCUGCCAAACAGUGAGUACAAACGUUUUAUAUUUUUCAGUUGUGUACUCAUAGAAGUCUGUGAAAGAUGAUAGCAAGGGUAGAAUCUAUCAGUACUUGUGUCUAAAAAUGCUGAUGUGUGACGGUUUACUGAAAAGGGUAAAUGCUAGCCAGUACUUACACUUGAGCAACCGUGGGAUGUCGAACUAACUGAUGAUGUACUAUGAUGGUGAACACUUACUAUGUGUAUCAAAAUGCUUUUGUUGAUAUUUACUAUAGAUGAUUUGAUAUUGGUUAACAUUUGUUUGCAUGCUGUUAACAUUUCUAUUUCAUUUCAGGGAGCUGUGGUAAGUAUUGUAGUAUUAAUUUGUCUCAAUAAACGAUGAUGAAUGAAAACUGAUGUCGAUUCUUUUUGUACAGUUUUAGGUAUUAGCACUCUAUACAAAACUCUGUCGGUCGGUGUUUGUGAAUGUGAGCUUAAUGUUUGAGUAGAACAAAAAUGUCUUUACUUUUGUGAUCGCCAGUUGUCUGUGAUGUAAAGUGGAAAAAACACAGCUAUGAAGCAUACAAUUGUUUCAAUAUUUUAUCAAUGAUAGUGUGCUAUGCAUGUUUUGAUUUAGUUCGUUUCAGAUACGACAUGACAUGAAGAGUUGACAGUCGAACAGAGCUGAGCAAAGCAGAAAGGUAAGUGUGUUUCAUUUUAGUAUGAACACUUGUAUUUUGUUUUUAUAUGGUAUGUUUUGUGCAUGCUAUGUUUCAGGUGUACUUGUAGUCAGCGACGAAGACGAUUCAAGAAGAGGAACAUUGCUGAGAAAGUGAAUGGGACUUGCAAACAGGAUUCAAGUUUCUGGUGUAGACAGAAAAAUGUGUUUGAAGAAGGAAUUCUACUACUGUGAUUCAACUCUACAGAAGCAAGGUAAGUAGAAACAAAAUUUUGGUUUAAUUUAACUCAUGUGUUUUGCACUGCAUGCUAUUUUUCAGGUCUCUCAUGCAGUGAUGCAAAAGAAGAAGAUUUCAAGAAAGAAUCACUGCUGCAACUCAGGCCUAUAACAAGGUAAGUGUUUACUAUAUUGUAUACAAAAUGUUUCUCUGUUUUACUCUGUUUGAAGGUUUCAAUUGCAGAGAUGUUGCAGAGAUGUUUUGACAGCUUGUGACAGAAAAGAAAUUCAGCAGCUGUGUCUCGACUCUAGCCACGAGGUAAGUCAAAACAAAUAUACUGGUUUGUAUGUUAUGUUGUUAUGCCCUUCUAUGUUUCAGACUUACAUUGCUGUGACUGUUCCACAGUGGGUCAAAAAAGAGACGAAUACAGGCUUCAAGAAGAAAAUUGGCUGUUGAAAACCUGCACAAAAUAUGAGGUAAGUAAACUAUUCUUUUGGUUUGUUUUGUGCUUUGUUAUGCUUAACUAUUUUUCAGAUUGGAAUGGUGGGUCGUUACAGAGCAGACUUUUGGACAACUGAGAAGUUGAGAAACAGAGAAUGAUUCAAGAUCAGCUAGGUAAGUCUUGAUUAUUGUGCAUUGCUAAAUGUUUUUUUUCAUUCCAGUAUGGCUGUGGUAAGUACACAAACUUUCUAUAAUUUAAUAUUGAACUGUUUUUAUGACCUGUAUUCUGCAUUGUAAAAUGUCUGUUUUUCAUUUCAGUAUCCUGUGGUAAGUACACUAACUUUCUUUAAUUUUCAUAUUGAACUGUUUUGAUGACUUGUAUACUACUAUGCAAUGCCUAAUGUUUUUUUCAUUUCAGUAGCCUGUUGGUAAGUACACUAACUUUCUAUAAUUUCAUAGUGAAUUGUUUUGAUGACCUGUAUUCUGCAUUGUAAAAUGUGUUUCUUUUUCAUUUCAGUAUGGCUGUGGUAAGUACAAU